Molecule: small RNA, 515 nt
Filed under: Pongo abelii (Sumatran orangutan)
Lineage: Eukaryota; Metazoa; Chordata; Mammalia; Primates; Hominidae
Description: processed transcript
Source: RNAcentral
UCAUUUUCCGGUUAGCCUUCGGGGUGUCCGCGUGAGAACUGGUUAUAUCCUGGAGCGAGUGCUGGGAGGUGCUAGUCCGCCGCGCCUUAUUCGAGAGGCGUCAGAGCUGGGAGACUAGGAUGUCGGACACGUGGAGCUCUAUCCAGGCCCACAAGAAGCAGCUGGACUCUCUGCGGGAGAGGCUGCAGCGGAGGCGGAAGCAGGACUCGGGGCACUUGGCAGCACAGACCUUCGCCCUUCUCCUCGGUUCUUCCAGCUCACUUUUACCGGACCGACGCUUGAGCCCCACCCUCGUCCGCCUUGCCCACUCCUCUUCAGCCUGCGAGGACGUCGCCUUUGUGAGGCUGCUCAGCCCCCUAUCCCGCGAAGCAGCAAGAACCCCUUUUUGUUGCUGCUUUGGCGCUUUGUUCCCUCAGUUAUAACGACUGUUUUGUAGUGGUCAUUUCUUGGCAGCUGUCGGUACAGUAAGCGAGGAAUGAACCUUUAUAUCCACAGUGCCCAAUUUAGUGGCCCGU